Molecule: ribosomal RNA, 433 nt
Filed under: uncultured bacterium
Lineage: Bacteria
Description: partial 16S ribosomal RNA
Rfam family: Bacterial small subunit ribosomal RNA
Source: RNAcentral
AACGAACGCUGGCGGCAUGCCUAACACAUGCAAGUCGAACGAGACCUUCGGGUCUAGUGGCGCACGGGUGCGUAACGCGUGGGAACCUGCCCUUAGGUUCGGAAUAACUCCCCGAAGGGGGUGCUAAUACCGGAUAAUGUCUUCGGACCAAAGAUUUAUCGCCUUUGGAUGGGCCCGCGUUGGAUUAGCUAGUUGGUAGGGUAAAAGCCUACCAAGGCGACGAUCCAUAGCUGGUCUGAGAGGAUGAUCAGCCACACUGGGACUGAGACACGGCCCAGACUCCUACGGGAGGCAGCAGUGGGGAAUAUUAGACAAUGGGCGAAAGCCUGAUCCAGCAAUGCCGCGUGAGUGAUGAAGGCCUUAGGGUUGUAAAGCUCUUUUACCCGGGAUGAUAAUGACAGUACCGGGAGAAUAAGCUCCGGCUAACUCCGUG